Molecule: long non-coding RNA, 405 nt
Filed under: Mus caroli (Ryukyu mouse)
Lineage: Eukaryota; Metazoa; Chordata; Mammalia; Rodentia; Muridae
Description: lncRNA (MGP_CAROLIEiJ_G0006449.1)
Source: RNAcentral
GGACUCACAUAUCACAGGCUGGCCUCAAACUCUAUCUCAGUGGAAGAGAAUAUGACGCUAUGCUCAGUCUCAUUAGUUCCUAAUGGGAUGUGACAACGCAUUUGCAAUGUGUGGUCAGAGUUCCUUCCUGGAGUAAAUGCUAACCGUUAGCACACAGCUGCUUGUGCAAACUAUAGACGAUAGAGUCUGGAGUUCGGCAGACCAGCCAAAAAGCCACGGUUGCCUCCUGAUGACCUACAUCUGCUCUCUGCCUGGAGCCAAUAAUGCAAGCAGUAUUUUCAUCACAAAGCAUCUAGAGAGAAAAGAUUUCACAACUUCCUAGAGCACAUUCAAGCUCCCACUGUGUCCUCUGGCGCCAUCCAUAAAUCCCUCUCUUCAUCUGAUUUCAGCCUGUGCCCCACAGAG